This 76-nucleotide transfer RNA is filed under the name Clostridiales bacterium. RNAcentral describes it as "tRNA-Thr". It matches the Rfam family "tRNA". From Rfam's summary of the family: Transfer RNA (tRNA) molecules are approximately 80 nucleotides in length. Their secondary structure includes four short double-helical elements and three loops (D, anti-codon, and T loops). The record is from RNAcentral. Lineage: Bacteria; Bacillati; Bacillota; Clostridia; Eubacteriales. RNAcentral also lists the same sequence under 1 other name.
GCCACUAUAGCUCAGUAGGUAGAGCAACUGAUUCGUAACCAGUAGGUCAGCAGUUCGAUUCUGCUUAGUGGCUCCA